GCGCCCGUAGCUCAGCUGGAUAGAGCACCAGACUACGAAUCUGGGGGUCAGGAGUUCGAAUCUCUUCGGGCGCACCA
Molecule: transfer RNA, 77 nt
Filed under: Roseicitreum antarcticum
Lineage: Bacteria; Pseudomonadati; Pseudomonadota; Alphaproteobacteria; Rhodobacterales; Paracoccaceae
Also listed under: 5 other names
Description: tRNA_Arg_ACG
Rfam family: tRNA
About the family: Transfer RNA (tRNA) molecules are approximately 80 nucleotides in length. Their secondary structure includes four short double-helical elements and three loops (D, anti-codon, and T loops). Further hydrogen bonds mediate the characteristic L-shaped molecular structure. tRNAs have two regions of fundamental functional importance: the anti-codon, which is responsible for specific mRNA codon recognition, and the 3' end, to which the tRNAs corresponding amino acid is attached (by aminoacyl-tRNA synthetases). tRNAs cope with the degeneracy of the genetic code in two manners: having more than one tRNA (with a specific anti-codon) for a particular amino acid; and 'wobble' base-pairing, i.e. permitting non-standard base-pairing at the 3rd anti-codon position.
Source: RNAcentral